GGAUGAAUGAGGCACACAGAGAAAGAAGCAGACACGUUUUACUACUGCAUCUGUCCAGGCUUACUUCUAGAUGGCAAGGUCCUGAGUAGAGAGAUGCAUCAUCUCAGUCUGCAGAAAUUCCUGGAAGAAUGAACACUCAGAAGGAGGUUUAUACUGAUCAUACUACUUGAUGAGUUUUCUUACUCAACUAAAGGCUCCCAUGAAAGCACAUGAAGAUACCUUCACGUCUUCAGGUUUGAAAAUGGAUCAUUAGAUCUGAAGCACUCGUGUUGCUCCUGUGCAUUGACAAGCCUGAGGAUGGAAACCCACCACCUUGGAGAUGACAGAGCAGAGA
Molecule: non-coding RNA, 334 nt
Organism: Delphinapterus leucas (beluga whale)
Lineage: Eukaryota; Metazoa; Chordata; Mammalia; Artiodactyla; Monodontidae
Source: RefSeq, a predicted model, not a curated record